This 456-nucleotide ribosomal RNA is filed under the name uncultured bacterium. RNAcentral describes it as "SSU rRNA". It matches the Rfam family "Bacterial small subunit ribosomal RNA", at positions 26 to 518 of the family's 1533-position model. The record is from RNAcentral.
AGGAUGAACGCUGGCGGCGUGCUUAAUACAUGCAAGUCGAGCGGUAAGGCCCCUUCGGGGGUACACGAGCGGCGGACGGCUGAGUAACGCGUGGGAACGUACCCCGAAGUGAGGGAUAAGCACCAGAAAUGGUGUCUAAUACCGCAUGUGCUCUAAGGAGUAAAGCUCCGGCGCUUCGGGAACGGCCUGCGUCCGAUUAGCUUGUUGGUGAGGUAAUGGCUUACCAAGGCGACGAUCGGUAGCUGGUCUGAGAGGAUGACCAGCCAGACUGGGACUGAGAACGGCCCAGACUCCUACGGGAGGCAGCAGUAGGGAAUUUUCCACAAUGGACGAAAGUCUGAUGGAGCAACGCCGCGUGCAGGAUGAAGGCCUUAGGGUCGUAAACUGCUUUUAUGUAUGAAGAUUAUGACGGUAGUACAUAGAAUAAGGAUCGGCUAACUCCGCGCCAGCAGCCGC